CGUAGGGGCGUAGCGUUAUCCGGAUUUACUGGGCGUAAAGGGUGCGUAGGUGGUUUCUUAAGUCAGGAGUGAAAGGCUACGGCUCAACCGUAGUAAGCUCUUGAAACUGGGAGGCUUGAGUGCAGGAGAGGAAAGUGGAAUUCCUAGUGUAGCGGUGAAAUGCGUAGAUAUUAGGAGGAACACCAGUAGCGAAGGCGGCUUUCUGGACUGUAACUGACACUGAGGCACGAAAGCGUGGGGAGCGAAACAGGAUU
Molecule: ribosomal RNA, 254 nt
Filed under: uncultured bacterium
Lineage: Bacteria
Description: partial 16S ribosomal RNA
Rfam family: Bacterial small subunit ribosomal RNA
Source: RNAcentral